GAUGAACGCUGGCGGCGUGCCUAACACAUGCAAGUCGAACGGAGCUGCUUUGAUGAAGUUUUCGGAUGGAUUUAAAACAGCUUAGUGGCGGACGGGUGAGUAACGCGUGGGUAACCUGCCUCACACUGGGGGAUAACAGUUAGAAAUAGCUGCUAAUACCGCAUAAGCGCACGGUUCCGCAUGGAACAGUGUGAAAAACUCCGGUGGUGUGAGAUGGACCCGCGUCUGAUUAGCCAGUUGGCGGGGUAACGGCCCACCAAAGCGACGAUCAGUAGCCGGCCUGAGAGGGUGAACGGCCACAUUGGGACUGAGACACGGCCCAAACUCCUACGGGAGGCAGCAGUGGGGAAUAUUGCACAAUGGGGGAAACCCUGAUGCAGCGACGCCGCGUGAGUGAAGAAGUAUUUCGGUAUGUAAAGCUCUAUCAGCAGGGAAGAAAGUGACGGUAC
RNAcentral lists this ribosomal RNA (449 nucleotides) under uncultured bacterium. RNAcentral's name for it is "bacterial SSU rRNA". It matches the Rfam family "Bacterial small subunit ribosomal RNA", at positions 28 to 478 of the family's 1533-position model. The record is from RNAcentral.